UACGAAGGGGGCUAGCGUUGCUCGGAAUUACUGGGCGUAAAGGGCGCGUAGGCGGCACUGUUAGUCAGGCGUGAAAGUCCUGGGCUCAACCUGGGAACUGCGCUUGAUACGGCAGAGCUAGAGGAUGGAAGAGGCUCGCGGAAUUCCCAGUGUAGAGGUGAAAUUCGUAGAUAUCGGGAGGAACACCAGUGGCGAAGGCGACUACCUGGCCUGUUCUUGACGCUGAGGCGCGAAAGCUAGGGGAGCAAACGGG
Molecule: ribosomal RNA, 253 nt
Filed under: uncultured bacterium
Lineage: Bacteria
Description: partial 16S ribosomal RNA
Rfam family: Bacterial small subunit ribosomal RNA
Source: RNAcentral